This is an RNA transcript of Quercus lobata, 1580 nucleotides long. RefSeq lists it as uncharacterized. The record is from RefSeq and is a predicted model, not a curated record. The transcript has 6 exons. Lineage: Eukaryota; Viridiplantae; Streptophyta; Magnoliopsida; Fagales; Fagaceae.
UUGUGCAUUUUUUUUUUUUGUUCUCUUAUUGUAGUCAACCACAGCAUCAUUUUUUUACCUGUCCUGCUCCUCAUCUCCUUAAGUAAAUUCAAUUUGAAUCACCUUCUCUGUUUAACACUUAUGUGCAUCAAAACUUCAAACUAUAUAGGAAGGCUACCAAAAACGAAAAAAGAAAAAAAGAAGGGGAUUAAUGGAGUUGGCCCCAAUCGGUUGGGACCAAUGCUUGGAUUAUCUUCUGAUGAAGUUACCGUGGAUGGCUGCUAUUUGCUGGUGCAAGUAACUCUUUAAAACCCUAAGUACUUAGCCAAAUUGAUGGCUUUAAUGAUAUUUUGAUGAUUUUAUAGUUUUUUUAAUUUUUAUUUUUGAGAAUUCUUUUAUGCAAUUUAGCGAGUGCACAAACACACACAUGAUAAGUUAAGAUAGAAAUGAUAAUAUGAAAAAACCACUCUCAUUGACAUCGUGAAAUCAGUGUCACAGUAGUAUUGUGUCUAAAGUAUCUUUGUUAACAUCUACCUUUUUUAUGGUUCAGAAAUUGUAAAUUGCUGCUUCUAAAGUAACCAAUUCAUACCUUUAAGUUUAAUCUGGAAUCAUGCCCUAUGUUUGAUAUAUUUCAUAUCAAUAUAUGUUGCUUCAAGUACUUUAUAGUUUUUAUGUUAAAUGUUUCUCAGUUAUGAAGUAUAUUUAAUGCUAAGGCAGUUGCUAUAUGCAUGCUGCCAUGACAAAUCAACAGCUAACAGAUAGUGGAAACCGGAUGAUGGACAAGACUGAUCAAGCCAUUGGAGGUCAUAAAAGACUGUUCAAGACACCAUCAACGUUGGAACAGAAACUGCAGCUGCACUCAAGGAUCAGACUGAACAAAUGAGUCAGGCUGUUAAGUGUUAAUGAGCUGGACUAUCCAUUUCUCGAUCAAGAAAGCUUCUCAACUUGUGAAGGAACUUGGUAGGCAGGUUGCAACUGAUAGGUGUAUUAUGGCAUUACUCUUCCUAAUUAUUGCCAUUGGAGUCAUAGCUAUCAUUAUUGUAAAGGAGGGACAAUCAUGGCACGGGGAUUGAGGUCCCUAUUGAGGUGGAAAAAAGGAUGCAUAUUUAUUACAUUCGGAACAGAGGGUUUGGUAACAGAUUUAAUGUGUUGGGUGAUGACAAUCAUGGCACUCCGAAUGACUUAACGCAAUGACCCAGAAAUCAAGAAGGCAUGUGACUCAUACAGUGAUCAUUUUGGACAGUUCAUCAAACUGAUAUUCUAUGGCAUCCAAAAGGUAUCAUGAUUAUGCAUGAACAGCAAAACAGUCUCUUAUUAAUUUGUCGUUGAACUUGGGAUUAUUACUACAAAUUUUCAACUUGAGUCAAAGGGAUGUCCUAAUUAUUGCAUUGGAGAUCUUAAACCGAAAUCUCAAAUUGUAUUUAGGAGCAGUACUAGUAGAAGUUGGCUGUACAAAGUCAAAGCUUGUGUGCUUGCAUUUAUAGUGACUUGAUGUGAAGAGUGUGGAAGGAAGAAAAGAAGAAAAAUGUGUGAAAUAAAAGGAAAGGCCAUUCGGCCAUGGGUCUCCAGUUUCUACAUGACCACAUUCAUUUUUUUCUAAA